CCCUUAGAUGUUCUGGGCCGCACGCGCGCUACACUGAUGCAUUCAACGAGUCUAAAACCUGCUCUGAUAGGGGUGGGUAAUCUUUUGAAUGUGCAUCGUGAUUGGGAUAGAUGAUUGCAAUUUUUCAUCUUCAACGAGGAAUGCCUAGUAAACGCAAGUCAUCAGCUUGCAUUGAUUACGUCCCUGCCCUUUGUACGCACCGCCCGUCGCUCCUACCGAUUGAAUGAUCCGAUGAAUAUCAUGGAUUGAGGAUGCAAGCAGGUUCGCCUGUCUUCAUCUUCAAGAAGUGAAGUAAAUCUUAUCAUUUAGAGGAAGGAGAAGUCGUACCA
This 329-nucleotide ribosomal RNA is filed under the name uncultured eukaryote. RNAcentral describes it as "partial 18S ribosomal RNA". It matches the Rfam family "Eukaryotic small subunit ribosomal RNA", at positions 1470 to 1796 of the family's 1831-position model. The record is from RNAcentral.